Molecule: transfer RNA, 89 nt
Filed under: subsurface metagenome
Description: tRNA-Gly
Source: RNAcentral
CCCCGCCGGGUCCCUGGUGGGACGCGGGGCUGCCCGCCCUGGGCGGGCUGACGAACCAGAGCCCAGGGGGUACUGGCCCCUGGCCGGAG